This is a long non-coding RNA of Sinocyclocheilus rhinocerous, 319 nucleotides long. RefSeq lists it as uncharacterized. NCBI's taxonomy places the organism in Eukaryota, Metazoa, Chordata, Actinopteri, Cypriniformes, Cyprinidae. The transcript is spliced from 3 exons. The record is from RefSeq and is a predicted model, not a curated record.
UGCCUUUCUGCAGAAGCUCGGUCCGGUUGGCCAUCAGAAAGAUCCAGUACGCUCCAGAUAAAGGAGGCGCAGCUCCAUCGGCCGAAACCACCUGUGAAUUCAUCAUGUCUGAUAAAAACCGCUGCACAUGCGGGUCAGUCUGGAGAAAGAGACGUAUUACCAUGGAGAGGAGAUCAACAUCAGCGUGGACAUCGACAACAGCUCCAACAGGAACAUGAAGGACUUGUCAGUCUCAGUGGAGCAGGUCACUAAUGUGGUGCUUUACUCUAACGACAAGUACGUCAAAACUGUGGCCUAUGAGGAAACCAUGUGAGUACAA